UACUCUCUCAGAUACUUUCAGACGCCCAAAACAUCAGUAUAAGACUGGCAAACAAGACACCGGACCUACAGGACAUAGAAGUCAGGUCCAGUAUCCUCUGGCAUUUCUUAAGCAGUAGCUCAAUAUUUUCUACCACUUUGAUAAAUCAUUCAACAGGAAAAGGCCCUAGUGCAUGGGGAAGUAUGUGGCAGAGAUGCGGAGUCAAUGGGGAUCUAGCUAUGCCUCAUCUAGCUCUCCAGCCAGUGACUUCAGCCGAAGCAGAGAGAGAACUGGUCUACAGCAGAUAAGCCACGAGCUGAGAAUGUCACCACCUACCAGCUUGCAACCAAGUCUGAGCUUCGGGCAACAUUUCUACAUACUGCCCAUGAAUUCAGAGGAUUAAAGCUUCAGAGUGGCCCUUUAGUGAAAACCUGCCGGGGCUACCUCAGAAGGAGACACCUACGUCCUAUCAAGUGAAUCCUCCUCCAAGUGUCAUUCUUCAUUCUAUCCAACACAGCAUAUGAUAUUGGAAGAAUAAGAUAAAACACUUUAAAGCUAAAUAGAAUUAAGAUACUCUACCCCUCAAGGAAGAUCAUGCUUAGAAGAUUUUAAAGUCAAUAUCUAAAUUCCAGACUUUCAGAUAACAUGAAUGCUUACAUUUUGUCUCAGGUGUUUGCAAACUAAUUAAGUUUGUUGCUUCACGAAUGAAGACAAUGGCUUCCUAUGCAGACUAAAAAGACCUGCUGUUCUACUGCAAAGGCUUUUUAUUCCUGUUUUCUAUAUUUACUGACAGUAUUAUUGAUGUAUAUGACAAUUCUAAUUAAAAAAAAAAGAGAGAGAGAGAAAGAGAGAGAGAGAGAGAAAGUAGUAGAUGGUCUUUUGUUCUAAUACCAGGUCAUAACCUAUGAGAACUGAGCUACUGAUUCAGGCAAAGACAUUCUCUCUGCUGGCCACUUAUUUCAUGCGUGUCAUUGCAGUGCUAGUAAUCCAGCAGGUAUAUGAGAAAAGGCACGUCUUAACAUUUAAUAUGUUACAGCUAUAGCAGUGGAAUAGUUGAUAAAUGCAACUCCUAUGCAUAGAGUUUGAGGCCAUCUAAAGUAUCUAAAUAAAGCUUCUGCCUAGCACAGGCCAUGGAAUUACACUCACUAAUUCUUGUGAUGGUCCAGGCAGUUUCUGGUUGACCUGAAGCAUGUCUCUUAGAAAGACUCAAAGGCUUUUCCUGGGUCAGAGGUUUCAAGUGAUGGAGAAUGCACCAUAUCCCUAGGCAAGUUGUCCUAACAGCUAAUUACCUUUGCUGUUAAACUUUUUACAGGGUAUUUCUACUUUGAUUUUGUUGAGCUUAAACUUUCCGGCAUUGAAUUGUAUCAUCCUUUUGUCUGGCAGAUUAAAGAGCCUGGUACUUUUAGAAGUUGUCUCUCUGUGUAGAUACUUUUAAAACUGAUCAAGUCACCUCUUAACCUCCUUUUUUCAUAUUAUUCUGAUAGUACUAAAAGAAAAGAAAAAAAGAAAGAGGAAAGGGGGUCACGUUUUGCAACUAGGUGCAUUUGGACAGCUUCUGUUGAAGAAAAUCAGUGCCACAAUUGUGCACACCUGUAGAAGAAACAUGCCCAUUAGUGAUUUGCAGGGUAUGGUUUUCAGAAAAUUCUGUGAACAUCAGAUGAGCAUCCUACUGUUUUUGUUGAUGCCAGCUAAGUAGACACCACAUGCCCUCUGCUGGGGGUAGCAUUACUGAUGGCUGAAUCAAAUGCAGAGCAGUCUUCCUAGCCAAAGGAAAGAAGCAAUCUGCAUUGAUUUUUAAAGAUAAAGAACUAACAGUGGGAUUAAUACUGUCCAUUUUCUCUCCUAUCAUAAAGGCCAAUUUUAGCACCAC
This is a long non-coding RNA of Dromaius novaehollandiae (emu), 1849 nucleotides long. RefSeq lists it as uncharacterized. Lineage: Eukaryota; Metazoa; Chordata; Aves; Casuariiformes; Dromaiidae. The record is from RefSeq and is a predicted model, not a curated record. The transcript is spliced from 4 exons.